Molecule: long non-coding RNA, 1567 nt
Organism: Anopheles arabiensis
Lineage: Eukaryota; Metazoa; Arthropoda; Insecta; Diptera; Culicidae
Exons: 2
Source: RefSeq, a predicted model, not a curated record
UCCCGUGCGUACCCACAGUUCGGGUUCAGGGUGGUUUUCCACGACGGGACUGCUUCAGUUCAUGGUUGACAUCCGCUGCUGCUGGUGGUUGCGGUGAUUUUUAGUGCGAGCGUGAUUUCCACCAACCGCAGUCCUACUAGUGGCAGUUCGUAAUGUUCAAACGACUUGCAACAUCGAGGCAGUAAGUGUGUUAGUGUCCGUGAAGUGGAAAGAAUAAAAAUGGAGCGAAAAUGUUAUGACCAAUGCUUGUGAUUUAUGGUGCAUGGAGAGGUUUGUUUAACUUUCGACCUGUUGCACCUGUUAUUUGAUGUGUUCUGGGUGAUUCAUUCCCGUAUACGUUAAUUUUAAUAUUGAAGCUGGUACGGUGAUCGUUUAUAUUUUGUGCAGCAUACUCUCGAAGCAUACUUAAAGCUAAGAUGAGCUAGGUGAAUUGGCCGUUGUGGGUGUGUGAGCGUGCCUGUGUGAUUAUUUGUAGCUGUGCAGUGUUAAGUGAGAAGAAGAGAUACUAACCGUACCGAACCGACAACUCAAUCACAAUGGCAAUCGAAAACUACACGCUGAUGCUGAUGGAUGCGACGAAUCGUCACAAUCUGUCUGCGUUCAGUACCGACGCCGGUCCAACCAUGUCGCACGAUGAAACGAUGGAAAUGAUUGUGAAGGGUUGGUGGGGAGACGGGUCUCAAUCUGCCCUGAUUCUUCUGCUCUCCCUCUCAUCCGGAUGUUGAGCAUCGUCAGUUUAUCCAGAACAUUUGCUGAGAAAAGAUGUGCUGAAGUGAUGUGUGAUUUCUUCCGUAUUUUCCUCCUCUAUGUUUUACGCCGCGGGCCUUCUUCUUCAAUUGUGGAAUAGUUUAUCCUAGCAAAUUUUACAGCUGUUCUCGUGAGUGCUUUAAUGGAUACAUUCAUCAAAAGCUUGUCAUCUACGGCUCAUCGACGGCUACCUGAUGGCCUUGUCAACAACGUGCACGAUCAUCUGUAGAAGGAAAACGUUGUCUGGUUUUACAAUAUUAAGCUUUCAACGCAGCUAAAUCAUAGAAGAACGCACUUCAAGGACGCCAAGGACGCGUCUAAAGAUGCGCAGCACCAGUCGAUGACGUCAUCGUAGCCAGACCAGACAUGUGCCGGUUGAACACGCGCAGCACCAGUCGAUGAUAUUCUUAGGCGCUGGGUGGAAAGAAAAGUGGAAGGAAGGGUAACGAAAAAUUACCGCUUCAUUUGGAAGGGACAAAGCAUUCUGCCGAGUACUGGGUGUGACUGGGUCUGGGUCAUACAAUUCAUUUCACGACCCGACCCGUUGUAAGGUGCAAACCUUUCGGAAAUAAUUCCAAUCCGUGGAUGCAACGGGUGCACUAGAUCAAAGUCGGAAUCAAAUCCAACCCAUGGGUGUAAUGAGUUUGAGUCGACCCGAAUAACCAGAAGGUGCAACAAAGCAUAAGCAAGUCCGAUCCUAAGGGGCAUCAAACCAGUGGGUUUGGGUCGAACCGCCCAUCAAUAGUACAGAGUGUGAGUUUGCCAAAACGCACGUGGAAACAGUGAGAAAAAUGUUCAAUAAAAAGCAUGCGACAAUGUG